Molecule: ribosomal RNA, 468 nt
Filed under: uncultured bacterium
Lineage: Bacteria
Description: partial 16S ribosomal RNA
Rfam family: Bacterial small subunit ribosomal RNA
Source: RNAcentral
GACGAACGCUGGCGGCGUGCUUAACACAUGCAAGUCGAACGGAAAGGCCCUGCUUUUGUGUGGUGCUCGAGUGGCGAACGGGUGAGUAACACGUGAGUAACCUGCCCUUGACUUUGGGAUAACUUCAGGAAACUGGGGCUAAUACCGGAUAGGAGCUCCUGCUGCAUGGUGGGGGUUGGAAAGUUUCGGCGGUUGGGGAUGGACUCGCGGCUUAUCAGCUUGUUGGUGGGGUAGUGGCUUACCAAGGCUUUGACGGGUAGCCGGCCUGAGAGGGUGACCGGCCACAUUGGGACUGAGAUACGGCCCAGACUCCUACGAGAGGCAGCAGUGGGGAAUAUUGCACAAUGGGCGGAAGCCUGAUGCAGCAACGCCGCGUGCGGGAUGACGGCCUUCGGGUUGUAAACCGCUUUCGCCUGUGACGAAGCGUGAGUGACGGUAAUGGGUAAAGAAGCACCGGCUAACUACGUG